Dermacentor silvarum is the source of this 434-nucleotide long non-coding RNA. RefSeq lists it as uncharacterized. Lineage: Eukaryota; Metazoa; Arthropoda; Arachnida; Ixodida; Ixodidae. The record is from RefSeq and is a predicted model, not a curated record. The transcript has 3 exons.
AACACGACAGUGUUCUUGUUUUCCAGCUCUGCGGUGCUCCGUGACGGCUGUAGCAUUCAGCUUCCGUCCCCUGUGUCAUUGAUUAUCGUGUUUUGAGAUUUAGCUCCUCGAGUAUACCGUGAGCCCUUUAGAGUGACUCGCCCCAUUACAGGUCCGCGUCGAAGGAGCCACAUCCGCCCUCCAAGAGAAAGGUGUACGGGACGUUGUGUUUUACCAAUUGGCCAUCUUCUACAUGUGUCUGGCUACAGUAAAGGCCAUCAUCUUGUACAACAUCCACGGCUACUACAAGGAACUAAAAGAGAACCCGCCGUCCUCGAACGUCGUCCUCUUCUUCAAUCCGCUGGGCGCACUGAGACAACCCUUAGUUUUCGUCAACCUGAAGACACCGGUUGCGUCGCCGACUACACAGUAGAAAGCGCCAGUCGCAUAAUACU